CCAAGCCCACCGGGAAGCCGUGACCACCUCCGCGCUGUGUUCUCUGAGCGCCAGGGACUGUGCCAAGGCCUUUGGAAAAUACCUGCAGUCCCACGAGAGGACAGACGUCAUCCUCGUGGCCAUUGAGGCAUUGGGCGAUGCCAGCAUCCUCGACCAGCAGGUGCCCAGCAGCCUGCUGGAUGUGGCCUUGGAGGACCCGGACGUCUGGCUGACGGACGCGCCCAAGAUAGUCAGCUGC
Long non-coding RNA from Corapipo altera (White-ruffed manakin), 238 nucleotides. RefSeq lists it as uncharacterized. The transcript has 3 exons. Lineage: Eukaryota; Metazoa; Chordata; Aves; Passeriformes; Pipridae. The record is from RefSeq and is a predicted model, not a curated record.